RNAcentral lists this ribosomal RNA (254 nucleotides) under uncultured bacterium. RNAcentral's name for it is "partial 16S ribosomal RNA". It matches the Rfam family "Bacterial small subunit ribosomal RNA", at positions 524 to 776 of the family's 1533-position model. The record is from RNAcentral.
UACGGGGGGGGCAAGCGUUGUUCGGAAUUACUGGGCGUAAAGGGCUCGUAGGCGGCCAACUAAGUCAGACGUGAAAUCCCUCGGCUUAACCGGGGAACUGCGUCUGAUACUGGAUGGCUUGAGUUUGGGAGAGGGAUGCGGAAUUCCAGGUGUAGCGGUGAAAUGCGUAGAUAUCUGGAGGAACGCCGGGGGCGAAGGCGGCAUCCCGGGCCAGCACUGACGCUGAGUGAGCGAAAGCCAGGGGAGCAAACGGG